This is a long non-coding RNA of Eptesicus fuscus (big brown bat), 693 nucleotides long. RefSeq lists it as uncharacterized. The transcript is spliced from 9 exons. Lineage: Eukaryota; Metazoa; Chordata; Mammalia; Chiroptera; Vespertilionidae. The record is from RefSeq and is a predicted model, not a curated record.
CUUGCAUCUUUUCGGCACUCCACACUAUCAGGACCCUCUGCUUCUACAGUUCUGGAGGCUGAGCAGUCCAAGAUCAAAGCGCCAACACCAUGACAUUCUGGAAAUCAUCUUCUGGGAUCUUUACCUUACGAAGAAUGUCUUAAGAUAUAUGAAGGCUGGGGGCAAGACCUGCAGUAAUUUCCCAUAAGGUAAGAAAGCCAAAAGAAAUUCAGGCUUUGGCUAGUGUGCACCAGAAAAAAUGUCAUCCAAAAAUUGACCUACGGAAUGAUGACCAAAACUAGGACUUCAAAUGAAAUAGGCAGGAGGUACAUUUAGGUCCUUCAAACACUGUCAUUACGGGCUGAGAGGUGAAGAUGCAUUAGAUAAGAAAAUAGCAGGCAGGGACCCUGAAGCACUUUAAGAAACCUCAGUCUGCAGAGAAUCCUAGUCCUGGCUCCAAUCCUCAGGAAACCUGUUCUUUACCACAGGUGUUGCGCUUUUUUAAAAUAAAGGCAAGACUCUCCACCAGCCCAAAAGCUUAAGACUCACUUUAUUGCACUACUCAGUUUGUUGCAGUGACCUGGAACCAAACCCGCAAUAUCGCUCAGGUGGGAGUUUCUACUACAGCUCCACUGUUGAUGAGGAAUCAGGCAUGAGGGAAUCUUAAUAACUUUGUAAGAACAUGAAAAGAGUUGUAGGUCAAACCCCAUCACA